AAAAAUAUAUUUCUUUUGGCACAAUUACGUCCAAAUUUGUGAUUUACACCUCUUCUAUAAUCUCUGUUGUCACAUUGUUUUGUGUUCUAGGCUGCUUAGGUGUUCAAGACCUCGGCCAACUCUACCAUAGGAUAUUGAAAGAUACAGAUGGACCACCAUAAUAUGCACCAUAAAUUACUGUCGGAAUCCCAAGAAUAUUUCUGUUCUCAACUCGAAGUGGUUGCCUCUGGGAAAAAAUCAUGAAGCGAACGUGAUGAUAGACCCUGCGGGAGCCAACGUCAGUGAGCUUCUUAUGUUUUCAAUUCAGGAGCAAAUCACCUAUCAUCAAGUGAGUAGCAUGAAGUUUACAAAGGGGGUUUGUACUUAGGCUAUCUGAAAAUGCGCAGCUCGGUAGAUCUUCUGUACGUCAUCGUUCCAACAAAAACACCAAAUGUACCACCACAUUGCAAAAUAAGGGCUAAUCCACAUGUCACAGCUGAAGAAUGGGAUUGGCUGGUUAACGGCAAGGAGAUGCAUCUAAUGGAACAGAACAGCAAAAGCUCUUUGCUGAUCAGAUCGCUGCAGCUGCCGAACGGUUAUUCACUUACAUGCAAGUACUGCCUGAACACAUCAACCAACACCGCUUCUAUGAUAUCGAAGUGGUAG
This 645-nucleotide long non-coding RNA is filed under the name Bemisia tabaci. RNAcentral describes it as "lncRNA ENSSWEETPG011531". Lineage: Eukaryota; Metazoa; Arthropoda; Insecta; Hemiptera; Aleyrodidae. The record is from RNAcentral.